AUACGUAGGUGGCGAGCGUUGUCCGGAAUUACUGGGUGUAAAGGGCGCGUAGGCGGGGAUGUAAGUCAGAUGUGAAAUACCGGGGCUUAACUCUGGGGGUGCAUCUGAAACUAUGUUUCUUGAGUGCUGGAGAGGAAAGCGGAAUUCCUAGUGUAGCGGUGAAAUGCGUAGAGAUUAGGAGGAACACCAGUGGCGAAGGCGGCUUUCUGGACAGUAACUGACGCUGAGGCGCGAAAGCGUGGGGAGCAAACAGGAUUAGAUACCCUGGUAGUCCACGCUGUAAACGAUGGAUACUAGGUGUAGGAGGUAUCGACCCCUUCUGUGCCGGAGUUAACACAAUAAGUAUCCCACCUGGGGAGUACGGCCGCAAGGUUGAA
Molecule: ribosomal RNA, 377 nt
Filed under: uncultured bacterium
Lineage: Bacteria
Description: bacterial SSU rRNA
Rfam family: Bacterial small subunit ribosomal RNA
Source: RNAcentral